Molecule: ribosomal RNA, 253 nt
Filed under: uncultured bacterium
Lineage: Bacteria
Description: partial 16S ribosomal RNA
Rfam family: Bacterial small subunit ribosomal RNA
Source: RNAcentral
UACGUAGGGGGCAAGCGUUGUCCGGAUUUAUUAGGCGUAAAGAGCGUGUAGGCGGCCAGACAGGUCCGUUGUGAAAACUCGAGGCUCAACCUCGAGACGUCGAUGGAAACCGUCUGGCUAGAGUCCGGAAGAGGAGAGUGGAAUUCCUGGUGUAGCGGUGAAAUGCGCAGAUAUCAGGAAGAACACCUAUGGCGAAGGCAGCACUCUGGGACGGUACUGACGCUGAGACGCGAAAGCGUGGGGAGCGAACAGG